This 403-nucleotide ribosomal RNA is filed under the name bacterium. Its description in RNAcentral is "partial 16S ribosomal RNA". It matches the Rfam family "Bacterial small subunit ribosomal RNA", at positions 355 to 776 of the family's 1533-position model. The record is from RNAcentral.
UGGGGAAUAUUGCACAAUGGAGGGAACUCUGAUGCAGCGACGCCGCGUGAACGAAGAAGGCUUUCGAGUCGUAAAGUUCUUUUAUAUGGGAAGAUAAUGACGGUACCAUAAGAAAAAGCCCCGGCUAACUACGUGCCAGCAGCCGCGGUAAUACGUGGGGGGCUAGCGUUGUCCGGAAUCACUGGGCGUAAAGGGUUCGCAGGCGGAAAUGCAAGUCAGGUGUAAAAGGCCGUAGCUUAACUACUGUAAGCAUUUGAAACUGCAUAUCUUGAGAAGAGUAGAGGUAAGUGGAAUUUUUAGUGUAGCGGUGAAAUGCGUAGAUAUUAAAAAGAAUACCGGUGGCGAAGGCGACUUACUGGGCUCAUUCUGACGCUGAGGAACGAAAGCGUGGGUAGCAAACAGG